AUGAGCUCACUGGUUCUACUGCUGGCCACCCUGGGGCUCCUGGUUCAGGGUUCAUCAGGACAAAUCGCUGUGACUCAGUCUCCUGAAUCUCAGUCUGUUGUUCCAGGACAGACUGUCUCCAUCAGAUGUAAAACCAGUUCAGGUGUUUACAGCAAUCUCCACUGGUACCUUCAGAAACCUGGAGAAGCUCCUAAACUCCUGAUUAAUUCUGCUACAAGCCGUCAGUCUGGAGUUCCAGGUCGUUUCAGUGGAAGUGGAUAUGGGACUGACUUCACUCUGACCAUCAGUGGAGUUCAGGCUGAAGAUUCAGGAGUUUACUACUGUCAGCAGGGUUACAGCUUCCCGUUCACACAGUGAUACAACGUCGUACAAAAACCUCCCUCAGCUGGAGAGGAACUGAUCUGAAUCAACAGCUGCACUCAAACUAAAACUAAAGGUUUUACUAAAAUAAAUAGUUCACAAUAAUUCACUCUGAAUAUUUGAACACUAAAUAUACUGUACAUAACCAAAAGUCACACUUUUACUGCUUUCAUACAAACAAGGUUUGAUACUGAUGAUACUGUUGAAGUAAUAUUUCACUUCUUUGAUCAGGUCAUUCCCUGGAGUAUGAUGACAUGUGGACACUCAAUUUGUAGAUGUUCAUUUUAUUUCUUUCCAUUUUUCAUAGAAACUCAAUAUAUUAAUUCAAUAGAUGAUAAAAUGUCAUCUCAAUAAUAUUUCAUUCAUGUUGUAAAAAUACGAAUCACAUCUAUAACAUAUUUAAUUGUUUUCAUUUUUUUGUCCAACAAAUUUGUAUUUUAUGAUUUAGACCAAAAUAAUUUAUGAAGUAUGUAUUUUAGUAACACUUUCAUCUUUUUCCAUCUUUCAUUUGUCUUUGUGUUUGUGGAUCUUCAGCAGAAGCAGGAUGUAAAGAGUUUCAGGGAUAAAUUUGAGUUCACAAGAAUUUGGUUUCUCUUUAUGCUGAUGAUACAAUUCUUCUUUAGAAAAUGUUUUUCAUGCUUUUAUAGUUUGACUUGAAGGACAGUGCAUGUUCUUUAGAUAAACCCAAAGCAACAACAGCAUGACAGUCCUCACCAUCACUGAUUUGCACGAAUCAAAAAUGAUGAGGACUUUUGUCUGAGUUUAUAAACUCUUUGAUAAUCAGUGUAUAUGGAAACACAUGAUGUGAUGUGAAACAUAAUUUAUAAAGUCAUCAAGGAAAAAAUCAUGUUUUAAAAUGUUGUUGGUUAAAUAGCAUCACUGCAACUAUUAAAAGAACAUUUAUGAAAACACUUUGACGAUAAUAAA
Molecule: non-coding RNA, 1287 nt
Organism: Chelmon rostratus (copperband butterflyfish)
Lineage: Eukaryota; Metazoa; Chordata; Actinopteri; Chaetodontiformes; Chaetodontidae
Source: the annotation of a RefSeq genome assembly